RNAcentral lists this ribosomal RNA (390 nucleotides) under uncultured bacterium. RNAcentral's name for it is "bacterial SSU rRNA". It matches the Rfam family "Bacterial small subunit ribosomal RNA", at positions 28 to 417 of the family's 1533-position model. The record is from RNAcentral.
GAUGAACGCUGGCGGCACGCUUAACACAUGCAAGUCGAGCGGAGGUUGAAAGCUUGCUUUUAACCUUAGCGGCGGACGGGUGAGUAACACGUGGGUAACCUACCUCAUACAGGGGGAUAACGUAUAGAAAUGUACGCUAAUACCGCAUAAGCCUACAGAAUGGCAUCAUUCAGUAGGAAAAACUCCGGUGGUAUGAGAUGGGCCCGCGACUGAUUAGCUAGUUGGGGAGGUAAUGGCUCACCAAGGCGACGAUCAGUAGCCGGUCUGAGAGGAUGGACGGCCACAUUGGGACUGAGACACGGCCCAGACUCCUACAGGAGGCAGCAGUGGGGAAUAUUGGGCAAUGGGGGAAACCCUGACCCAGCAACGCCGCGUGAAGGAAGAAGGCCU